Molecule: long non-coding RNA, 892 nt
Organism: Oryza sativa Japonica Group (Japanese rice)
Lineage: Eukaryota; Viridiplantae; Streptophyta; Magnoliopsida; Poales; Poaceae
Source: RefSeq, a predicted model, not a curated record
UGAAAUGUGGCCCCUCGACCCCUUCCUCCCACUGCUCCAGGCCUCCAGCAGGAGUCUUCGCCGCCGGCGAGCAAUUCCCCUCCACCGCCGCGCAUUCCUCCCUCCCCUCUCUUUCCGCCAUAUCAAUUGCUCCCUCGCCUUCGUCAAAUAGCGUUACAGCAGACGAUGCGCCAUCCAGGGGAGCCUCAGCUUCUCUGAAGAAGAAAGGGACACUGAGGCGAUGCGUUAAUUGCGGCGGCUGCCUCUCAGGCCGAGACUUCAAGAACCCCCCAUCUCAGUGCUGCGCCUUCCUCUCCUCCUGAUGUGAAUGAUUUCCGAUUUGCGUAUGCUUUGCUUCGGUUCUUGAUUAGCCGCUACGUCGCCGCAUCUGCUGUCCUGCCAAGCGUGGCAAAAUGGAUUUCUUCUGAUGGGCAAGCGGUUGGUCAAGGUUGCAGAUACUCUCAUGGUGUCUCUUGUCACAGUCUCACUGAUGACGCUGGUGAUCCUCCAUGAUAUCACAUUUUUUCCUGAGGGCCUGAAUAGCAGAAUGGGCAAGCUUCAAGUCAAGAAUCCAAAGGAGCAUGGAUGAUCAUUGAUUUGAGCCGGAGCAUGAUCGUUGGCAACUUGGCGUGACGAAGCUAGAGUGUGAUGAUGGGAGUUGUAAUCUCUAAUGGUCUCCUCGUGAACUGGUGUUAGAAUGCUAAUGUUUAGUGGUUUCCUUUAAACUGGCUUUUAGUAUGCUGCUAUGCUCGAAUUAAAACUCUGUUUCACCUAUUGAGCUUGUCAGUUUCUUAUGUGCCAGUGCUUGAGGUGGCAUUGCACCUGCAUGUGUUGCGACGAUCCGGAGGCACAGUUGGGAGUUCUUUUUUUCUAGUUAAAUGGACAAAGUAUUAAUGUCUGCAAUUUUAAUUUA